CCUACGGGUGGCAGCAGUGAGGAAUAUUGGUCAAUGGGCGCUAGCCUGAACCAGCCAAGUAGCGUGAAGGAUGACUGCCCUAUGGGUUGUAAACUUCUUUUAUAUGGGAAUAAAGUGCAGUAUGUAUACUGCUUUGCAUGUACCUUAUGAAUAAGCAUCGGCUAACUCCGUGCCAGCAGCCGCGGUAAUACGGAGGAUGCGAGCGUUAUCCGGAUUUAUUGGGUUUAAAGGGUGCGUAGGCGGUAUUUUAAGUUAGUGGUAAAACGUCGGGGCUUCACCUUGAUUGGCCAUUAAAACUGGAGUACUAGAGUACAGACGAGGUAGGCGGAAUAAGUUAAGUAGCGGUGAAAUGCUUAGAUAUAACUUAGAACCCCGAUAGCGAAGGCAGCUUACCAGACUGUUACUGACGCUGAAGCACGAGAGCGUGGGUAGCGAACAGGAUUAGAUACCCCAGUAGUC
RNAcentral lists this ribosomal RNA (459 nucleotides) under uncultured bacterium. RNAcentral describes it as "partial 16S ribosomal RNA". It matches the Rfam family "Bacterial small subunit ribosomal RNA", at positions 338 to 795 of the family's 1533-position model. The record is from RNAcentral.